CAGUAGCCGCGGGAACACGGAGGGAGCUAGCGUUGUUCGGAAUUACUGGGCGUAAAGCGCGCGUAGGCGGUUACUCAAGUCAGAGGUGAAAGCCCGGGGCUCAACCCCGGAACUGCCUUUGAAACUAGGUGACUAGAAUCUUGGAGAGGUCAGUGGAAUUCCGAGUGUAGAGGUGAAAUUCGUAGAUAUUCGGAAGAACACCAGUGGCGAAGGCGACUGACUGGACAAGUAUUGACGCUGAGGUGCGAAAGCGUGGGGAGCAAACAGGAUUAGAUACCCCCGUAGUCCCUGUCUCUUAUAC
Molecule: ribosomal RNA, 301 nt
Filed under: uncultured bacterium
Lineage: Bacteria
Description: partial 16S ribosomal RNA
Rfam family: Bacterial small subunit ribosomal RNA
Source: RNAcentral